Dama dama (fallow deer) is the source of this 1422-nucleotide long non-coding RNA. RefSeq lists it as uncharacterized. The transcript is spliced from 3 exons. The record is from RefSeq and is a predicted model, not a curated record. Lineage: Eukaryota; Metazoa; Chordata; Mammalia; Artiodactyla; Cervidae.
GCCUGGAACACUCACUCCGAUGCCCUCUCCACGAUCCCCUUCGGAUCCCCGCACCGCUGCGGGCAGCAGGCGUCAGCAGACACGGGUUAAGGCGGACGGGAGGAGCGCGGGCGGAACGCACUGCCGCCUUGGGAAAGGAUUUAACGUCGGAUCUGGGCGAGAGCUGGGUCGAGCCUAAAAGCCCGAGGCGGUGAAGGCAGCGGAUCCCGCAAGAGGUGUCCUUUUUCUUUCACCGAGGAAUAAACAUGGAGGAUCUGGAACAAGGUCACUUAAGGAGACAGCGUGUGAGCAAGAGGCUGGGAUCCAGGGACAUGUCCUGAUACUUAUUGAACUGGUUCUGCCUUUACUAAGAUGCCUAGUACUUCUCUUUGGCAUGUGAGAAUAUUCAGUCUUAUUGUUCCAGCCUUUGCAGCUUCAGCAGAAGUUUGAAGACCACAGAAAAAAAUCCUGUUCAAUGACCUAUGAAAGUAUUGUCUGACUUCCCAAGCCACAGUGAUAGCUCUAAAGGAAUAGAUAUCUUGCCUGCCUGGCUCACCACUGUUUCCUCGGAACCUAGAACAGUGCUUGCCUCUCAUAGACAGCCAGGAAAUACGUGUUCAGUGGAUGGCUAACUGAAUGAACCACAGAAGAAUCCCAUCAAGAAGGGCGGGCUGGUGUCAUUAGACCCAUUUUCAGAGAGAAUAACUGAGUUCCUGGUGAUGGUUCCUGGUCCAAGUCCAUGUGUUUGCUGCCUGCAGGGUUGGCCCUCAGGAGCUCCUUGAAUUCCACACUUGCAUGUUGGGAUGAAUGCCAUCUCACUUCCCAGAAAGCACCGCUCUCUCCCUGAGACUCUGCUCCUUUGCAGCUACAGGAAAGCCUCAGCUCCACACUUCCCACUCCUUGCCCCAUCAUCCACCCAGUUCUUUAGUUCUGGCUUCCUUUCCUCACCUAACUACCUGCCCAGUUCCUUUAGGAUCUCUUCUCUUCAUCCCUCAGCGCUCACCUCAAGUCCCCGUGAGCCUCCCAAGGCCAGAAACCUUGGCAUCCCACUUCGUCCCUGAGCUAUUUUUUCCUCCCAUGUGUCCAAGUCAUUAUUACUGCUCCGUCUCCUCUGUCUGCACUUCUGGAAGUCUGCCGCCCAUUCAGCCUCUUCUUGCUGCUCCACCUCAGCCAAAACCCUCGCGCAGACACUUUGCUCACCACUAGGCGCCCCUCCCACUCCUUGGUGAGGACAAGUGGUCCUUGGAAAUUCCCACCCUGUUCUCCUGGGGGCCCACAGCCAGGCUAGUCUGCUGUAAAGCCUGGCAUCUCCUACUCCCCCAUCCCAGCGCCACCCCCCUGUCCUGCCUCCCAUUGACUGCUCCUCACUCCCUUUCCCUGUAACUGCUGGAAUCUGUGGAUACAGCUCUUCAGAAUCUCCAGUCCCAUAAAUGGUUGAGUUUU